Molecule: unclassified non-coding RNA, 356 nt
Filed under: air metagenome
Description: partial contains small subunit ribosomal RNA, internal transcribed spacer 1, and 5.8S ribosomal RNA
Rfam family: Eukaryotic small subunit ribosomal RNA (bases 1-46)
Source: RNAcentral
AAGUCGUAACAAGGUUUCCGUAGGUGAACCUGCGGAAGGAUCAUUAUUGGAUUUUCUGUGGUUGACUGCUGGCCUUUCGAGGCAUGUGCGCCCAUGGUUCUUCUAUUCUUUUUUUGUGCACCACCGUAGUCUUUGAUUUGUUAAUUCAACAACUUGUUGUUGAGUUGAGGGGAAGAUUGGAAGCCUAACACGCUUCUGGUGGGGUCUCAGGACCCUACGCCCUGGACAGGAGCUGUAAAAAAGCUUCGAUAAGACUAAUAUAUAUAUAUAACACAAUGCAUGUCCAGAAUGUCAGUUUUUUGGCGAAAGCCUUUAUAACACAAAUACAACUUUCAGCAACGGAUCUCUUGGCUCUC